This 204-nucleotide ribosomal RNA is filed under the name uncultured bacterium. RNAcentral's name for it is "partial 16S ribosomal RNA". It matches the Rfam family "Bacterial small subunit ribosomal RNA", at positions 1297 to 1500 of the family's 1533-position model. The record is from RNAcentral.
AUUGCAGGCUGCAACCCGCCUGCAUGAAGUCGGAAUCGCUAGUAAUCGCGGAUCAGCAUGCCGCGAUGAAUACGUUCCCGGGCCUUGUACACACCGCCCGUCACACCAUGAGAGUCGGGAACACCCGAAGUCCGUAGCCUAACCGCAAGGAGGGCGCGGCCGAAGGUGGGUUCGAUAAUUGGGGUGAAGUCGUAACAAGGUAGC